This 590-nucleotide ribosomal RNA is filed under the name Trichoderma atroviride. RNAcentral describes it as "eukaryotic LSU rRNA". The stretch from base 197 to 350 matches the Rfam family "5.8S ribosomal RNA". The record is from RNAcentral. Lineage: Eukaryota; Fungi; Ascomycota; Sordariomycetes; Hypocreales; Hypocreaceae.
GGGGAUCAUUACCGAGUUUACAACUCCCAAACCCAAUGUGAACCAUACCAAACUGUUGCCUCGGCGGGGUCACGCCCCGGGUGCGUCGCAGCCCCGGAACCAGGCGCCCGCCGGAGGGACCAACCAAACUCUUUUCUGUAGUCCCCUCGCGGACGUUAUUUCUUACAGCUCUGAGCAAAAAUUCAAAAUGAAUCAAAACUUUCAACAACGGAUCUCUUGGUUCUGGCAUCGAUGAAGAACGCAGCGAAAUGCGAUAAGUAAUGUGAAUUGCAGAAUUCAGUGAAUCAUCGAAUCUUUGAACGCACAUUGCGCCCGCCAGUAUUCUGGCGGGCAUGCCUGUCCGAGCGUCAUUUCAACCCUCGAACCCCUCCGGGGGGUCGGCGUUGGGGACCUCGGGAGCCCCUAAGACGGGAUCCCGGCCCCGAAAUACAGUGGCGGUCUCGCCGCAGCCUCUCCUGCGCAGUAGUUUGCACAACUCGCACCGGGAGCGCGGCGCGUCCACGUCCGUAAAACACCCAACUUCUGAAAUGUUGACCUCGGAUCAGGUAGGAAUACCCGCUGAACUUAAGCAUAUCAAAAGCCCGGAGGAA